UGGCGGGUAGUGGCUAGGAACCUCGUCUCCAAAUGGUGGGCACCCGAAGGGGCGAGGGGAGCCAGUGGUGCGACCGCCCACCGCGUGG
This 88-nucleotide non-coding RNA is filed under the name unclassified sequences. RNAcentral describes it as "c-di-GMP sequence". It matches the Rfam family "c-di-GMP-II-GAG riboswitch aptamer". The record is from Rfam by way of RNAcentral.